This 377-nucleotide ribosomal RNA is filed under the name uncultured bacterium. RNAcentral's name for it is "bacterial SSU rRNA". It matches the Rfam family "Bacterial small subunit ribosomal RNA", at positions 790 to 1167 of the family's 1533-position model. The record is from RNAcentral.
GUAGUCCACGCCGUAAACGAUGUCUACUAGCCGUUAGGUGACUUGAUUGCCUAGUGGCGCAGCUAACGCACUAAGUAGACCGCCUGGGGAGUACGGCCGCAAGGUUAAAACUCAAAUGAAUUGACGGGGGCCCGCACAAGCGGUGGAGCAUGUGGUUUAAUUCGAUGCAACGCGAAGAACCUUACCAGGCCUUGACAUCCCCGGGACUUUCCAGAGAUGGAUUGGUGCCUUCGGGAACCGGGUGACAGGUGCUGCAUGGCUGUCGUCAGCUCGUGUCGUGAGAUGUUGGGUUAAGUCCCGUAACGAGCGCAACCCUUGUCCUUAGUUGCCAGCACUUUGGGUGGGAACUCUAGGGAGACUGCCGGUGACAAACCGGA